This 119-nucleotide ribosomal RNA is filed under the name Pteropus alecto (black flying fox). The record is from RNAcentral. Lineage: Eukaryota; Metazoa; Chordata; Mammalia; Chiroptera; Pteropodidae.
GUCUGUGGCCAUGCCACCCUGAACGUGCCUGAUCCUGUCUCAUCUCAGAAGCUAAGCAGGGUCGGGCCUGGUUACUACUUGGAUGGGAGACCACCUAGGAAGACCAGGUGCUGUAGACA